This 25-nucleotide small RNA is filed under the name Bombyx mori (domestic silkworm). RNAcentral describes it as "ovarian small RNA-23634". The record is from RNAcentral. Lineage: Eukaryota; Metazoa; Arthropoda; Insecta; Lepidoptera; Bombycidae.
UAUCGAAGAAUAUUGGACUACAUUA